RNAcentral lists this ribosomal RNA (254 nucleotides) under uncultured bacterium. RNAcentral's name for it is "partial 16S ribosomal RNA". It matches the Rfam family "Bacterial small subunit ribosomal RNA", at positions 524 to 776 of the family's 1533-position model. The record is from RNAcentral.
UACGUAGGGUGCGAGCGUUGUCCGGAAUUAUUGGGCGUAAAGAGCUCGUAGGCGGUCUGUCGCGUCGGUCGUGAAAACCUGCAGCUUAACUGUGGGCGUGCGGUCGAUACGGGCAUGACUGGAGUUCGGCAGGGGAGACUGGAAUUCCUGGUGUAGCGGUGAAAUGCGCAGAUAUCAGGAGGAACACCGAUGGCGAAGGCAGGUCUCUGGGCCAUAACUGACGCUGAGAAGCGAAAGCAUGGGGAGCGAACAGG